UACGUAGGCAGCGAGCGUUGUUCGGAGUUACUGGGCGUAAAGGGUGUGUAGGCGGUUCUUUAAGUUUGGUGUGAAAUCUCCCGGCUCAACUGGGAGGGUGCGCCGAAUACUGAGGGACUAGAGUACGGGAGAGGAAAGUGGAAUUCCUGGUGUAGCGGUGAAAUGCGUAGAUAUCAGGAGGAACACCGGUGGUGUAGACGGCUUUCUGGACCGUAACUGACGCUGAGACACGAAAGCGUGGGCAGCAAACAGG
This 253-nucleotide ribosomal RNA is filed under the name uncultured bacterium. Its description in RNAcentral is "partial 16S ribosomal RNA". It matches the Rfam family "Bacterial small subunit ribosomal RNA", at positions 524 to 776 of the family's 1533-position model. The record is from RNAcentral.